Molecule: ribosomal RNA, 491 nt
Filed under: uncultured bacterium
Lineage: Bacteria
Description: partial 16S ribosomal RNA
Rfam family: Bacterial small subunit ribosomal RNA
Source: RNAcentral
AGUGAACGCUGGCGGUAGGCCUAACACAUGCAAGUCGAACGGCAGCACAGUAAGAGCUUGCUCUUACGGGUGGCGAGUGGCGGACGGGUGAGGAAUACAUCGGAAUCUACUUUUUCGUGGGGGAUAACGUAGGGAAACUUACGCUAAUACCGCAUACGACCUACGGGUGAAAGCAGGGGAUCUUCGGACCCUGCGCGAUUGAAUGAGCCGAUGUCGGAUUAGCUAGUUGGCGGGGUAAAGGCCCACCAAGGCGACGAUCCGUAGCUGGUCUGAGAGGAUGAUCAGCCACACUGGAACUGAGACACGGUCCAGACUCCUACGGGAGGCAGCAGUGGGGAAUAUUGGACAAUGGGCGCAAGCCUGAUCCAGCCAUACCGCGUGGGUGAAGAAGGCCUUCGGGUUGUAAAGCCCUUUUGUUGGGAAAGAAAAGCAGCAGGUUAAUACCCCGCUGUUCUGACGGUACCCAAAGAAUAAGCACCGGCUAACUUCGU